GUCUCAUGGAGAAACUCUUGACAAUAAACGGUCUAAAUUCAGAUCAGAAGAUGGCACAGAAUUCGCCUUUUUAGUAGCUCCCCCAAACACUGUCCAGAUCUUAUGGCCUAUAUGUUGUCCCUUGACCAGUAGUUCCUCUCAAGUGUUUGAAUGUAAUGGUUGAUUUUCCUGUCAUCUGGUUUCAGUGUAACAAACUUUUUACAGACAGGCAGCGCUGGUGAAAAAGAAGCAAUACUCUACCAGCCCUGAGGACCAGGUCCGCUGCUGUGGAGUGUGGUAAAAGCAAAAAGGAGCUGCAGAGGGAGAGCUUCAGUUAUGAACUACAAGGUUCCUUUUCGAUAUGCCAAGCAAGUAUUUUCACAA
Long non-coding RNA from Mauremys reevesii (Reeves's turtle), 363 nucleotides. RefSeq lists it as uncharacterized. The transcript has 3 exons. NCBI's taxonomy places the organism in Eukaryota, Metazoa, Chordata, Testudines, Geoemydidae. The record is from RefSeq and is a predicted model, not a curated record.